RNAcentral lists this ribosomal RNA (392 nucleotides) under uncultured bacterium. RNAcentral's name for it is "partial 16S ribosomal RNA". It matches the Rfam family "Bacterial small subunit ribosomal RNA", at positions 523 to 918 of the family's 1533-position model. The record is from RNAcentral.
AUACGGAGGAUCCGAGCGUUAUCCGGAUUUAUUGGGUUUAAAGGGUGCGCAGGCGGCCAUUUAAGUCAGCGGUUAAAUCGUAGGGCUCAACCCCAUUCUGCCGUUGAUACUGGGUGGCUUGAUUGCGGUCGAGGUUGGCGGAAUUCGUUGUGUAGCGGUGAAAUGCAUAGAUAUGACGAAGAACACCGAUUGCGUAGGCAGCUGACCAGACCGCAAAUGACGCUCAUGCACGAAAGUGCGGGGAUCGAACAGGAUUAGAUACCCUGGUAGUCCGCACAGUAAACGAUGAAUACUUGUUUUCGGCGAUAUAAUGUCGGAGGCAAAGCGAAAGCGAUAAGUAUUCCACCUGGGGAGUACGCCGGCAACGGUGAAACUCAAAUGAAUUGGCGGGG